RNAcentral lists this ribosomal RNA (280 nucleotides) under uncultured bacterium. RNAcentral's name for it is "partial 16S ribosomal RNA". It matches the Rfam family "Bacterial small subunit ribosomal RNA", at positions 506 to 784 of the family's 1533-position model. The record is from RNAcentral.
UGCCAGCAGCCGCGGUAAGACGGAGGGGGCUAGCGUUGUUCGGAAUUACUGGGCGUAAAGCGCGCGUAGGCGGUUAUUCAAGUUGAGGGUGAAAUCCCAGGGCUCAACCCUGGAACGGCCUUCAAAACUGGAUUGACUUGAGAUCGGGAGAGGAGAGUGGAAUUCCCAGUGUAGAGGUGAAAUUCGUAGAUAUUGGGAAGAACACCAGUGGCGAAGGCGGCUCUCUGGCCCGGAUCUGACGCUGAGGUGCGAAAGCGUGGGGAGCAAACAGGAUUAGAUA